Molecule: ribosomal RNA, 1184 nt
Filed under: Escherichia coli
Lineage: Bacteria; Pseudomonadati; Pseudomonadota; Gammaproteobacteria; Enterobacterales; Enterobacteriaceae
Description: partial 23S ribosomal RNA
Rfam family: Bacterial large subunit ribosomal RNA
Source: RNAcentral
AAAUACUCCUGACUGACCGAUAGUGAACCAGUACCGUGAGGGAAAGGCGAAAAGAACCCCGGCGAGGGGAGUGAAAAAGAACCUGAAACCGUGUACGUACAAGCAGUGGGAGCACGCUUAGGCGUGUGACUGCGUACCUUUUGUAUAAUGGGUCAGCGACUUAUAUUCUGUAGCAAGGUUAACCGAAUAGGGGAGCCGAAGGGAAACCGAGUCUUAACUGGGCGUUAAGUUGCAGGGUAUAGACCCGAAACCCGGUGAUCUAGCCAUGGGCAGGUUGAAGGUUGGGUAACACUAACUGGAGGACCGAACCGACUAAUGUUGAAAAAUUAGCGGAUGACUUGUGGCUGGGGGUGAAAGGCCAAUCAAACCGGGAGAUAGCUGGUUCUCCCCGAAAGCUAUUUAGGUAGCGCCUCGUGAAUUCAUCUCCGGGGGUAGAGCACUGUUUCGGCAAGGGGGUCAUCCCGACUUACCAACCCGAUGCAAACUGCGAAUACCGGAGAAUGUUAUCACGGGAGACACACGGCGGGUGCUAACGUCCGUCGUGAAGAGGGAAACAACCCAGACCGCCAGCUAAGGUCCCAAAGUCAUGGUUAAGUGGGAAACGAUGUGGGAAGGCCCAGACAGCCAGGAUGUUGGCUUAGAAGCAGCCAUCAUUUAAAGAAAGCGUAAUAGCUCACUGGUCGAGUCGGCCUGCGCGGAAGAUGUAACGGGGCUAAACCAUGCACCGAAGCUGCGGCAGCGACGCUUAUGCGUUGUUGGGUAGGGGAGCGUUCUGUAAGCCUGUGAAGGUGUGCUGUGAGGCAUGCUGGAGGUAUCAGAAGUGCGAAUGCUGACAUAAGUAACGAUAAAGCGGGUGAAAAGCCCGCUCGCCGGAAGACCAAGGGUUCCUGUCCAACGUUAAUCGGGGCAGGGUGAGUCGACCCCUAAGGCGAGGCCGAAAGGCGUAGUCGAUGGGAAACAGGUUAAUAUUCCUGUACUUGGUGUUACUGCGAAGGGGGGACGGAGAAGGCUAUGUUGGCCGGGCGACGGUUGUCCCGGUUUAAGCGUGUAGGCUGGUUUUCCAGGCAAAUCCGGAAAAUCAAGGCUGAGGCGUGAUGACGAGGCACUACGGUGCUGAAGCAACAAAUGCCCUGCUUCCAGGAAAAGCCUCUAAGCAUCAGGUAACAUCAAAUCGUACCCCAAAC